This 253-nucleotide ribosomal RNA is filed under the name uncultured bacterium. RNAcentral's name for it is "partial 16S ribosomal RNA". It matches the Rfam family "Bacterial small subunit ribosomal RNA", at positions 524 to 776 of the family's 1533-position model. The record is from RNAcentral.
GACGAGGGGUCCUAGCGUUGUUCGGAAUCAUUGGGCGUAAAGCGUGUGUAGGUGGCUUUUCAAGUCAGGUGUGAAAGCCCCGGGCUCAACCCGGGAAGUGCAUCUGAUACUGCUAAGCUUGAGUACCGAAGAGGGUAGUGGAAUUCCAGGUGUAGUGGUGAAAUACGUAGAUAUCUGGAGGAACACCGGUGGCGAAGGCGGCUACCUGGUCGAGUACUGACACUGAGACACGAAAGCGUGGGGAUCAAACAGG